GACGGAGGGGGCUAGCGUUGUUCGGAAUGACUGGGUGUAAAGGGCGCGUAGGCGGUGUUUUAAGUGAGGCGUGAAAGCCCUGGGCUCAACCCAGGCGGUGCGUUUCAUACUGGAAUACUAGAGUGCGAGAGAGGAAAGUGGAAUUCCUAGUGUAGAGGUGAAAUGCGUAGAUAUUAGGAAGAACACCAGAGGCGAAGGCGACUUUCUGGCUCGCAACUGACGCUGAGGCGCGAAAGCGUGGGGAGCAAACAGG
Molecule: ribosomal RNA, 253 nt
Filed under: uncultured bacterium
Lineage: Bacteria
Description: partial 16S ribosomal RNA
Rfam family: Bacterial small subunit ribosomal RNA
Source: RNAcentral